UGUCUUAAUUCCGGUGCAUUAUUUUUUGGAGGCCUGAUCACGCGUGGUUUCUAUAUGUGGAUACGAACAACCCAGAGUUUUUCGCCUUCGGAAUGGUUAAAGUCAGCGUUUUUUCCCCAUUUUCUUGCAUUAGAAAAAUAUAGCCAACAAAACAUUCCACAUUAUGGUGUGAUCCAGAUGCCUCGGACACCAGCCUUCCGACUUGUGAUGUCACGCUGUCGGAGCACUUAUAGCGUUCCCGUUCGUCUUUGUGAUUGUGUCAUGAAAUUGGCCAGUCGUUGUUUCUUGUUAGCUACAUUAGCCUCUUUUGCAAACUAUCUCGAAGACAAACAACACAACACAACUUUACAGCAAGACCGUGUAAUGCAUAAAUUGGUGACCGGAAUACAGUAGCAAUGUAAUCAAGUGCGCAACAUUAACAUGACCAACGUGGUACAAAUACAAAGAAAAUAAAUCUCUUUACGGGCGAAGCCAUACACCAUAAUGGUGUGAUCCAGAUGCCUCGGACACCAGCCUUCCGAGUUCGAAGUGGGGAAAUCUCACAGCUUUCUUGCGGCAUUUCAUGGAGAAACGCACCCUUUUUGUACCUAAAGGGAGGUUCUUAAGGGUACACCCAUCAAGGACCCUCCAAAAUGGGGAACCAUCACACAAAUUAUAUCAAAUUGAGCAAACGGAUUGGUGCAAAGGUGGUGGACUUCAAACAUGAAACAAAUGGAGACAUUGCACGGUCCAUAACAGCGACAGAGUUGGAGAUUUCCAGGAUAGAAGCAGAGAGGCCAACAAGUUGGAGGGAAUAUUCCUUCACAGAUGGCAACACGACAAAUGACUCCCAGAUUGAUUACCAGGUGAAGCAGUCCAAUGAGAGCGUUGAAAGUAAUGACUCUAUAAUUGAUGGGGUGUCUGAGAUGGACCAAACCCAGGCUUCUGGCAUUGGCCUGUUGGAUGAACCUCAGGGGAACCUGAUGGAUGUGUUGGUGCAGCCUGAAGACCAGAAUGAAGAGCUGGAACAAACUCUGAGUAGUCCUCGUAGCACUCUGAUGGAGCUGUUCCCCCAAAUGAUCACUCAGAUGGGGAAGACCUCUCCCCGGCAGAGGUACACAAAGAUGAGACCAAUUGGCAGCAAGGCCGGGACCGGCAAGCCCUCACCCAGGGGGGAUUGCCACGACCUCUGCCAAUCUGGUGAUGAACACAACCUGAAAGCAGCAGUUAAAAGCUGCGUGGCCAUGAUCCAUUCCCCUGUGCAAAGACAUUCCAACCUGACUCAGCCGCUGCAGGGUGUGGGAGCAUCUUCUGAGAGUGAGGCAGAACCGGGCGAGGAGAGAUGGCCAGUGGACGGAAUUUUCCUUGUUGAUGCAAAGCAAGGAGUCAAUGAACCAUACAUUCACUGUGUCCAAGGGUUCUCAUCCCUGUUCGCCUCUCUCUGGCAAACCUCAGGGACAAAGCCAUUCCACUGCAGUGCAAUCCCCAGCUCAGACCCUGAGGUUUAACAGAAGCAAUGGCCCUUAUGUGAUGGAGAGCUCAACUGUUCCCAAGACUCUGCAGAGCUUGUUAAAUACAAGGGGGAAGAACCAUAAUGGCUAUGGUGGAUCUCCCAAGGCUUUGGCAAGACAGAACCCUGUAUCAUCUUCUAUACAUGAGCAGCACUCCCGGUCACCAAAGAGAAGGCUCUACCAUCAGGAUUGUCACAGUCCCUCCCGGAUUAGAUCGGACUCCCUACAGUCGUCCCUCCGGCCAGGUGGAAUGUAUUCCCCUGCCAAAAUAGAAGAGGCGUUCAGAAAUCUUUACCACAAAGUUGUCUGUCUGGCCAAAGCUCCUCUCUCAAAAUGCUCUCCCUGUCGUUGCUCUGCUCGAAGAUUAGAGGCCAACAUUGGGAGCUCUUCUUCCCCUGCCUCUGCACCGUCACCUCUGGCCCUUUCCCCCCACCGCUCCAACCUGCGGAAGCGUGCCAGGGAGCUCGACUAGGACAGGUCUCCCACUUUCAAACACCCCUGGGGAUGGAACUCGUCCCCUGGCGCCAUUUCAAAGAGAGAAGACUGCAUCUGUAACAGUGCAGUCCUGAGUUGGUGUUCUACAUUAUUGCGUUGGAUUUUACG
RNAcentral lists this long non-coding RNA (2093 nucleotides) under Gadus morhua (Atlantic cod). Its description in RNAcentral is "lncRNA (ENSGMOG00000028323.1)". The record is from RNAcentral. Lineage: Eukaryota; Metazoa; Chordata; Actinopteri; Gadiformes; Gadidae.